ACAUAAAUAAGCUAAUAAAAGCCUUUAAACUCAUAAUUUAAAUAUAGAUAACCUUAAAUCUUUUAUGUA
Molecule: transfer RNA, 69 nt
Filed under: Mellinus arvensis (field digger wasp)
Lineage: Eukaryota; Metazoa; Arthropoda; Insecta; Hymenoptera; Crabronidae
Description: tRNA-Met
Source: RNAcentral